AGAACGAACGCUGGCGGCACGCCUAACACAUGCAAGUCGAGCGCCCAGCAAUGGGAGCGGCGGACGGGUGAGUAACACGUGGGAACAUGCCUUUCGGUACGGAACAACUGCGGGAAACUGCAGCUAAUGCCGUAUACGCCCUUACGGGGAAAGAUUUAUCGCCGAAAGAUUGGCCCGCGUCUGAUUAGCUAGUUGGUGAGGUAACGGCUCACCAAGGCUUCGAUCAGUAGCUGGUUUGAGAGAACGACCAGCCACAUUGGGACUGAGACACGGCCCAAACUCCUACGGGAGGCAGCAGUGGGGAAUCUUGGACAAUGGGGGAAACCCUGAUCCAGCGAUGCCGCGUGAGUGAUGAAGGCCUUCGGGUUGUAAAACUCUUUCGACGGGGACGAUAAUGACGGUACCCGUAGAAGAAGCUCCGGCUAACUUCGUGCCAACAGCCGC
RNAcentral lists this ribosomal RNA (444 nucleotides) under uncultured bacterium. RNAcentral describes it as "SSU rRNA". It matches the Rfam family "Bacterial small subunit ribosomal RNA", at positions 26 to 518 of the family's 1533-position model. The record is from RNAcentral.